Molecule: ribosomal RNA, 740 nt
Filed under: uncultured Microbacterium sp.
Lineage: Bacteria; Bacillati; Actinomycetota; Actinomycetes; Micrococcales; Microbacteriaceae
Description: bacterial SSU rRNA
Rfam family: Bacterial small subunit ribosomal RNA
Source: RNAcentral
UACACAUGCAGUCGAACGGUGAAGCAGAGCUUGCUCUGUGGAUCAGUGGCGAACGGGUGAGUAACACGUGAGCAACCUGCCCCGGACUCUGGGAUAAGCGCUGGAAACGGCGUCUAAUACCGGAUACGAGCUGCGACCGCAUGGUCAGCAGUUGGAAAGAUUUUUUGGUCUGGGAUGGGCUCACGGCCUAUCAGCUUGUUGGUGAGGUAAUGGCUCACCAAGGCGUCGACGGGUAGCCGGCCUGAGAGGGUGACCGGCCACACUGGGACUGAGACACGGCCCAGACUCCUACGGGAGGCAGCAGUGGGGAAUAUUGCACAAUGGGCGGAAGCCUGAUGCAGCAACGCCGCGUGAGGGAUGACGGCCUUCGGGUUGUAAACCUCUUUUAGCAGGGAAGAAGCGAAAGUGACGGUACCUGCAGAAAAAGCGCCGGCUAACUACGUGCCAGCAGCCGCGGUAAUACGUAGGGCGCAAGCGUUAUCCGGAAUUAUUGGGCGUAAAGAGCUCGUAGGCGGUUUGUCGCGUCUGCUGUGAAAUCCCGAGGCUCAACCUCGGGUCUGCAGUGGGUACGGGCAGACUAGAGUGCGGUAGGGGAGAUUGGAAUUCCUGGUGUAGCGGUGGAAUGCGCAGAUAUCAGGAGGAACACCGAUGGCGAAGGCAGAUCUCUGGGGCCGUUACUGACGCUGAGGAGCGAAAGGGUGGGGAGCAAACAGGCUUAGAUACCCUGGUAGUCCACCCCG